AGGGUAUUCAACUAAGAUUAAUGACCAUAAGAUAUACUUGAAAGUUCUGGCUGUCAAUGCUUGCUUUCUAAUAAAUGUCUGAUACAGAAAGAUUUUUGGAUUCAUGCAGGCGGUUUCACAUUGCCAGUCAAAAGUGGCGAGACCUACAUGCUACGGUUGAUCAAUGCAGCACUCAAUGAAGAGCUCUUCUUCAAAAUUGCAGGGCAUAAGCUUACAGUCGUCGAAGUUGAUGCCACCUAUGUUAAACCAUUCAAAACCGAUACAGUCCUAAUUGCCCCAGGCCAGACCACCAAUGUCCUUGUCACAACUAACAAAAAUACAGGCAAGUACUUGGUUGCUGCCUCCCCGUUCAUGGAUUCUCCAAUUGCUGUGGACAACAUGACAGCAACAGCCACUUUGCAGUAUUCAGGAGCACUUGCUAACUCCCCUACAACUCUCACCACCCCACCUCCAAAGAAUGCCACUGCAGUUGCCAACCAAUUUACCAACUCUCUACGCAGCCUUAACUCAAGAAGAUUUCCUGCCAAAGUCCCAUUGAACGUUGAUCACAACCUUUUCUUUACAGUUAGUCUAGGAGUUAACCCAUGUCCAAGUUGCAAAGCUGGUAAUGGCAGCAGGGUUGUUGCUAGUAUUAACAAUGUCACAUUUGUGAUGCCAACCACUGCCCUGCUCCAAGCACAUUUCCUCAACAUCAGCGGUGUGUUCACCACUGAUUUUCCUGCAAAGCCACCGCAUGUUUUCAAUUACACUGGCACUCCACCUACAAAUUUACAGACCAAAAGUGGAACUAAAGUUUAUAGGCUGAGCUACAACUCGACAGUCCAACUUGUUAUGCAAGAUACUGGUAUCAUAUCCCCUGAGAACCAUCCGAUCCAUUUACAUGGAUUCAAUUUCUUUGCUGUCGGUAGGGGAGUAGGGAAUUACAAUCCGAAGACUGAUACUAAGAAGUUUAACCUCGUUGAUCCUGUUGAACGGAACACAAUUGGAGUACCUUCUGGUGGAUGGGUGGCGAUAAGAUUUCGCGCCGAUAAUCCAGGUAAUUGCUGUUUAAUGUUUUCGUUUGGAAGUACAGAGCUUGGCAUUUUCAAGUUUGUUUAAUUUCAUGUUCUCUGAUUUUCUUCUUCGCAUCUCUUGUAGGAGUUUGGUUCAUGCAUUGCCAUCUAGAGGUGCACACUACAUGGGGACUUAAGAUGGCGUUCUUGGUAGACAAUGGCAAAGGCCCUAAGGAGUCUCUUCUACCGCCGCCAAGCGACCUUCCAAAAUGUUGAAGUCAGAUCAAGAACUAUACUAACUCGAGGGAUAGAAGCCAUACUUUAUCAGGAAACUUGGUCCCGGUAGAAACAUUCUAUGCUCGAAGAGAGCAGAGUGUGUAUAUAUAUAAUUUGAGGGUUAAAGAUCCGAUUUGUUUCUUGAGUGAAUUGGAAGAUUUGCUCAAGCGAGUUUGCAUAAAAUUUUGUGAGCGGUAGAGCUGUUUCAAUUCAAAUGUUAUUUUUUCUUGAAUAAAUAUAUAUAUAUUGAAGAUUUGAUCACAAAGCCAUUCAUGAUCAAUAAAACUUGUAUGCUUCUAAAUAUGUUCAUGGGUCGGGUUGGAUAAGACCUAGAUCAGGCCCGAUUAACUUUUCUAAGUUAUAUUGACCCGUAUCUGGCCAGAAUCGAUCCUUGGGCUUUCAAGCCCUUUAAGAAAUAAAAAAUAAAAAAUAAAAGCAAAAUAAUAUGUAGCAAUAGAAAUUAGUUUUUUUUUUUUUGAGACAAGUAUCGAAAUUGUUAAAGAAUAAGGAAGCAAAGUUUUAGCACGGCGAAACAAAUAUUUAUAUAACGCGGCAAUGAUUAGAAAUUCUAGCAAUGAUUGCAUUUCUUAGACCCAAAAGCUGUAUGUUUUUAAAUAUUUUUGAUAUGGUAAAGUAAGAAAUUAUUAUUUUAAUAUAUUUUAAAAUAAAAAAUUUUAAAAAUUAAUUUUUAUCACAAUCUCAAAUAAACAUUAGGUGAAAAGAAAAAAGAAAAGGAACAAUACAAACUGAAGCAUGGAGUUAGAACUUAAUUUUGUAGUUUAUUAAAAUAAAUAAAUUAAUUAUGGUUUUAACUAUAUAUUUACUCUUUUUGUUUUUAAAACCAUUUAUAACUUAAUAUUUUUCAUCCCUUUUAUGUUGUUUUUUCAAUAUAUUUAUUUUUUGUUUUAAAAACAGAAAAAAGAAAAGAAAAAGAAAAAGAUAAAUUAAGAAGAUUGAUAAAAUAGAAGAUACCUUUAUUUUUUUUCCCAAUAUGCUACGGCUAAAACUGGUUAGGAAAAUAGUGUAGCUGCAGAUGCAUUGGCACUGUUCACUAGAACAUUCUAAUGACAUCUUUGUCUUUUCCAUAAAAAAAACUUAUAACUAGUUUCUGGGAACAUGAAAGUCUUUUGACGAUGUGCAUUAGUCAUUCUUAAAUUAAUUAGGGGCAAUUAUGUCUUUUUCAAUUUAAAAAUACAGUGAAAAGACCGAAAUGCCCUUAAAAGCAAAAAAUUCAAUGCUAGCAUCAAGGGACAAUUUGAUACUUUUAAAAUUGUUUUUUUCUAUUAUUAUCAUGUAAGAUGAGGAGCAAUUUUGUAUUUGGAUAAAUAUAUAUAAAAAAUAAAAAACAUAGUGAAACGAUCAAAAUGUCCUUGGAAGUCUAAACAUAAAAAAAAAUGAUCUCAAGGGACUUUUUCCAUAGGUUUUUAUCUCAAAGCCUUCCCAAACUUCGAUUGAUAUUCAAUUUUAACUCUAUAAAAAAUAAGGUCUGUGAAAUCUUUUGGUAAAAUAUCAAUUCGAUCCAACGUUCAAAUUAAAAAUUAUGCUUGUUAGCGUAAAACUGUACAUUAGAAAAAAAAAGCCCAAAAUUACCUCUCAUUACCCAACCCUUUUAUGGACCACAUUAAUCAAGGCUUAGUCACCUUUUCUUGAAAAUUUAAAACUUGACUUGACCCAAAUAUCUUGAAUAAGCCCAUCGAAUAACUCUUCAAUCUUUUUGGUCGAAUGAUACAAGGUCAAAAUCUUUGGCUUCUCCUUCCUCAUUCUCAUCAACCAUCUCAUCAAUGAUCCUACACCUCACCAAACAUCACAUUCAUCCUCUCAAAUUGUUGUUCUAUAACCAGCAAUUUAAGAUGUCCUCCUUCUUCUUUUCAGAGGAUGCCCCGUCUUUGGAAGACAUUAUCAAAUUUAAAAUUUUACGUUAGUAAUAAAAAACAAUUAUCAUCACUCACUCCCUUAUGUGUUUACACUCUAUAAUCAACGGGUUGUAGUUGUUCAUCCAAUAGCUUCGAUUCUUUGGUUCAAGGUAAACACUAGAUCGAGUUUUUAUCUUCAAUUCGAUUUUAUCUUUUUUGGGUUGUAUUUUUUCUUGUUUAUGAGUUCACAUCACAAGAAACUAUUUUAUAAUAAACCUAAACCUAGGUUCGAGCCACAUCGUGUCGACACGUGCUUGCGUAUGGGUUUAAGUUCAAAACCCACUUUGCUUAUGUCAUUUUCCCUCUAAAAAAUUGGGUUCCUUUUGGUCUCAAUAUUAACUCUUCGCCUUCUCAUUAAAUAAGUCACAAGAAAAACUUAUUUCUUUCCAACACGGAUAGAGUUUUUAAAGGGUUUGGGUUUCACUAAAACAUGUCAAUCAAAGGUUCUUUGAGAAUAAUUUUUUAUUCAUCCAUAAUUUAAUUAAAUCAUAUUAGUGUUCUAUGUUAAAGAGCUUAUAUUGGAUAUUAAAUUCCAACAAAGUUUUAACCCCAAAAAUGAAUGGAUCCACUUUUAAUUUGGCCUCAAAUAUUUCCAUUAACCAUGUUCCAAGACAAAAUUUGCAACAAAAUGUCCCAUUAACAAAGCAGAAUGUUUUUGUUACAAUACUAAUGUCAGUAAAAAUGAGUAGAGAAUGUUGAUGAAUUUAGAUAUAACUAGUUUAUUUUCUACACUAUCAUUGUGGGUUGGAUGAAAUUUUUUUGGAACAUAAGAAAAUAAUAUAUAAACCAUAUGAAACUUUUCGGCAUUGUCAUUAAAUUAGGUGCAACAGUUCAAACUUGACAACUCUUAACAUGACUAUUUGUUUAGCUCAAGUUUUUAAUUAAAUCAUAUGAAAGUUGCUCUUAUGUGACAUUGUUUACUGGGUAGGUGCAAAGAAAAAAAAACACGUUAGGUUCAACCUAAUCAACCCACCAAACUCGUGAUCGAAGUUAUGAGCUUCACUAGGUCAAAUUAAUUUUUUUUAUUUUAUUAUAUAAUAAAAAUAUAAAUUUUUAUUUACCAUCAACACAAUACUAAAAAAUAAAAUUAAAAAGAAAAACUUCACAUUAAAAGAUAAUAUUGAAAGAAAAAAAUAAAAUAUGUAAAAAAUACUCUAAUGGUGUGCUAUGAUAAAGCCAAACACGCGGGCACGUGGGCUUGGGGAAGGCCUGCAGCUUGGGCUGUGCACAUCUUUUUUAUUUGCAAAAAAGAAGAAAAGCAACCUCUCAUCUAUCUUUUGAAAGAAUAUACUGCUAUCUGUAGCUAGGAAUCAAACCCACAACCUCCACACCUACCUCCUUGCUUACCACCACUUGAACUAUGACAAGAACUUAACCAAGCUAUUAAAAUAUAUCAACUUGAUUUUAAUAACUAAGCCAAAUCCAGCCAUUUAGUUGUUCCUUUUUACUAUUAGAUUUGAAAUCAAUGGUUUUAACAAACCAGCAUUUUAGACAUUCCCAAAACAGACGGAUGCGCAAAAGCAUUGAAUUGAAUUGAAAAUAUUGAUCGGAUCAUGCAUGGAUUUUCAUAUAAAAAAAACACAUCACCGUGGAAAGGACCUGGUGAGCACUCAUCAUUAGAAUUCAGAGCCGCAAGUAAUCCUGGGACAUCCUUUACAAGGACUACAAGUAAUGCCUUGAAAAAGAGAGUUCGGCCUACCAAACUUAACCCGUAUUGUUCUUAAAUCUACGAAGAGCACCAGGUCCUAAAAAAGAGUAGCAAAAUAAAAUAAAUUCUAAGGCAACUAAUUGAAAAUGGUGAUUAAUUAAGGUGACUUGUCCGUUGCUGAUCAAUUGACCACAUGUUCUUUUACUCUAUUUUUAUAUUGUUGUGAACCUACUUGAGUAAAUAGCAGGACAAGAGAAUGUUUUCAGGAUAAAUAUGUAGGAAGUGGGUGCCAAAUUUAAUCAUUUAAUUUACAGAUUUCCUAUGCCACCAAAUUAUCAAACUUCCAUGCAAGGUUCCUAAUUAAUAAAUGCAAAAAUUAGAAAACACAUGGUCUGCUUCCCAAACUAUGUUGAUCCAUGAACAAGACGACUUUAUGUAGCAUGUAAGAAACCUAGUAAGAUUAGGCUUCUAAUCCUUGUUUUCCAAGAAUGAACUCACCCACCUAACCUAACUGUGAAAAACGACAUGGCAGCAAUUCCCAUAUUCCCUUUAUAAGGUUGAGGUAGCCAGUCACGGAUGAAGACAACAAGCUUGAAAGCAAGAAGGAAACCAACAGCAACAGAGAGAUUGCCAAAGAAAGGUCUCGAAGUCAGCAAAUAUGGAGUACUCCAAUUUGCUCAUCCGUUUUAUGCUUCUUGCUGUCUGCCUCCUCCCCGCUUUGGUCGAGUGCAGGAUUCGGCAUUACAAGUUCAAUGUAAGUUAAAUGCUGUAGCAAGCUUCCAUGUGACGAAAGCCUGAACUGCUUGCGCUUUAGGUCAUUAGUCUCAUUCAUGUGACGAAAAUCUUCUUUGAAAUGCAUUUCGUUAUUAGAAGAUAGCCAUGUUUUGCACGAUGCAUUGCGCAUCAUGACACUGCCUUGGCUUAAAAUCAUGCAACUUUACCCAUAUCUUUUUCCUGACUAGUCCAUGAUUCAAAUGGAAAUCAUAGAGUUUCCACCUACCUAUAGCCACUAUUUUAAAUACCAGAAAAGUUUAUUCUCAUGCUUACUUUAUGGUUAAAUAAUUGCAGCAGAAAGCUCUCACUAUAUAUAUAUAUAUAUAUAUAUAUAUAUAUAUAUAUAUAUAUAUGUUCAAGAAACCAUUAAAAAAAUAUUAAAUAGGAAAAGGGUGGUAAGAUCUCAAAGCACUGUAGUGACAUAAUUUGUCACAACAAAUUAAACAAUAUGGACAGUUUAGCAUUUGAUGUAGAAAUGAGCUUAAAUAUUUCACCUAUCAUUUCAACAGGUGGUGAUGAAAAAUACUACCAGACUAUGCUCUAGGAAGCCGAUUGUUACCGUCAAUGGCCGCUUCCCAGGACCCACUCUGUAUGCCAGAGAACACGAUACAGUUCUUGUAAAAGUUGUUAACCAUGUCAAAUAUAAUGUUUCUAUUCACUGGUAAGCUAACGAAACAAACCCUGUAUAACAGUUAUACUUCAAUUCAUCAUGAAUGAUACCGAUGCGGAUUUUUCUUGGUAUUCUGCAGGCAUGGCAUUAGGCAACUAAGAACGGGCUGGGCUGAUGGACCAGCAUACAUUACACAAUGCCCCAUUCAGCCAGGGCAAAGCUAUGUCUACAAUUUCACAAUCACUGGUCAGAGGGGCACACUUCUUUGGCACGCACAUAUUCUCUGGCUAAGGGCCACAGUUCAUGGUGCCCUGGUUGUCUUGCCUAAACGCGGCAUCCCCUACCCAUUCCCAGCUCCUCAUAAAGAAGUGCUUGUUGUAUUAGGUGAGCAGGAUACAUAAUAGCUAUUUCUUUCACUAAAACUUUUGAAAUUCUGUGCAUUCCGCCAUAAUUCAAAUCUUUAAGGUUCAUGGUUAUUAAAUAUGUAACCUGAGACUAAGGUGGUGACGUGAAAUUGCAGCUGAAUGGUGGAAAUCAGAUACUGAAGCUGUGAUCAACGAGGCUCUUAAAUCUGGAUUAGCUCCAAAUGUCUCUGAUGCUCACACAAUUAACGGCCAUCCAGGAGCUGUCUCAGCUUGUUCUUCACAGGGUAUUCAACUAAGAUUAAUGACCAUAAGAUAUACCUGUGAGUUCUGGCUCUCAAUGCUUGCUUUCUAAUAGAGGUCUGAUACAGAAAGAUUUUUGGAUUCAUGCAGGCGGUUUCACAUUGCCAGUCAAAAGUGGCGAGACCUACAUGCUACGGUUGAUCAAUGCUGCACUCAAUGAAGAGCUCUUCUUCAAAAUUGCAGGGCAUAAGCUUACAGUCGUCGAAGUGGAUGCCACCUAUGUUAAACCAUUCAAAACCGAUACAGUCCUAAUUGCCCCAGGCCAGACCACCAAUGUCCUUGUCACAGCUAACAAAAAUACAGGCAAGUACUUGGUUGCUGCCUCCCCGUUCAUGGAUGCUCCAAUUGCUGUGGACAACAUGACAGCAACAGCCACUUUGCAGUAUUCAGGAGCACUUGCUAACUCCCCUACAACUCUCACCACCCCACCUCCAAAGAAUGCCACUGCAGUUGCCAACCAAUUUACCAACUCUCUACGCAGCCUUAACUCAAGAAGAUUUCCUGCCAAAGUCCCAUUGAACGUUGAUCACAACCUUUUCUUUACAGUUGGUCUAGGAGUUAACCCAUGUCCAAGUUGCAAAGCUGGUAAUGGCAGCAGGGUUGUUGCUAGUAUUAACAAUGUCACAUUUGUGAUGCCAACCACUGCCCUGCUCCAAGCACAUUUCCUCAACAUCAGCGGUGUGUUCACCACUGAUUUUCCUGCAAAGCCACCGCAUGUUUUCAAUUACACUGGCACUCCACCUACAAAUUUACAGACCAAAAGUGGAACUAAAGUUUAUAGGCUGAGCUACAACUCGACAGUCCAACUUGUUAUGCAAGAUACUGGGAUCAUAUCCCCUGAGAACCAUCCGAUCCAUUUACAUGGAUUCAAUUUCUUUGCUGUCGGUAGGGGAGUAGGGAAUUACAAUCCGAAGACUGAUACUAAGAAAUUUAACCUCGUUGAUCCUGUUGAACGGAACACAAUUGGAGUACCUUCUGGUGGAUGGGUGGCGAUAAGAUUUCGCGCCGAUAAUCCAGGUAAUUGCUGUUUAAUGUUUUCGUUUGGAAGUACAGAGCUUGGCAUUUUCAAGUUUGUUUAAUUUCAUGUUCUCUGAUUUUCUUCUUCGCAUCUCUUGUAGGAGUUUGGUUCAUGCAUUGCCAUCUAGAGGUGCACACUACAUGGGGACUUAAGAUGGCGUUCUUGGUAGACAAUGGCAAAGGCCCUAAGGAGUCUCUUCUACCGCCGCCAAGCGACCUUCCAAAAUGUUGAAGUCAGAUCAAGAACUAUACUAACUCGAGGGAUAGAAGCCAUACUUUAUCAGGAAACUUGGUCCCGGUAGAAACAUUCUAUGAUCGAAGAGAGCAGAGUGUGUAUAUAUAUAAUUUGAGGGUUUAAGAUCCGAUUUGUUUCUUGAGUGAAUUGGAAGAUUUGCUCAAGCGAGUUUUAAUAAAAUUUUGUGAGCGGUAGAGCUGUUUCAAUUCAAAUGUUAUUUUUUCUUGAAUAAAUAUAUCUAUUGAAGAUUUGAUCACGAAGCCAUUCAUGAUCAAUAAAACUUGUAUGUUCUAUAUAUGUUCAUGUGUCGGGUCGGAUUAGACCUAGAUCAGGCCCGAUUAAUUUUUCUAAGCUAUAUUGACCCGAGUCUAGUCAGAAUCGAUACUUGGGCUUUCAAGCCCUUCAAGAAAUUAAAAAAUGAAAGCAAAUAAUAAAUGCUAGAGUUCGAUUAGAACUAGUCUUUUCAUUUUUCAACAAGUAUCAAAAUUGUUAACGACCAAGGAAGCAAAGUUUUAGCACCGUGAAACAAAUAUUUAUAUAUAUAUCACGGCAAUGAUUAGAAAUUCUAGCAAUGAUUGCAUUUCUUAGACCCAAAAGCUGUAUGUUUUUAAAUAUUUUUUAUAGGGUAAUGUUAAAAAUUAUUAUUUUGAUAUAUUUUAAAAUAAAAAAUAAUUUUAAAAAUAAUUUUUAUCAUAUUCUUAAAUAAAUAUUAGGUGAAAAGAGAAAGAAAGGGAAAAAUAUAAACUGAAGCAUGGAGUGACUAGUAACUUAAUUUUGUAGUUUAUUAAAAUAAAUUAAUUAAUUAUAGUUGUAACUAUAUAUUUACUCUCUUUGUUUUUAAAACCAUUUAUAACUUAAUAUUUUUCAUCUAUUAUAUGUUGUUCUUCUAAUUUAUUUAUUUUUUGUUUUAAAAACAAAAAAAAAAGAAAAAGAUAAAAUAAGAAGAUUGAUAAAAUAAAAGAUACCUUCAUUUUUUUUUCAAAUAUGCUAUAGCUAAAAUUGGUUAGGAAAAUAGUGUAGCUGCAGAUAUAUUGACACUGUUCACUAGAACAUUCUAAUGAAGUGAACGUUCUAAUGACGUCUUUGUCUUUUCCAUCAAAAAACUUAUAACUAGUUACUUGGGACAUCAAAGUCUUUUGAUGAGGCACAUUAGUCAUUUCUAAAUUGACUAGGGGAAAUUAUGUCUUUUCCAAUUUAAAAAAUACAGUGAAAUUUCUAAAAUGCUCUUUUAAAAGCAAAAAUCUCAAUAUUGGCAUCAAAGGACAAUUUGAUACUUUUAAAAUGGUUUUUUUUUGUUAUUAUCAUGUAAGAUGAGAAUCAAAAAUAUAUUGAAACGAUUGAAAUGUCCAUAGAAGUCAAAAAAUAAAAUAAAAAUGAUCUUAAAGGGCUUUUUCCAAAGGUUUUUUCAUUAUUAACAUGUAAAAUCAUGGGUGAUUUGAUAUUUGAAUAAAACAAAAUUCAGGCAUAUGUACGACACCAUGAGGCACGCGGGAGGCGCCAACACACUAUGGAUGACGUGUGUGACGCCUUCCAUUGUCCAAAAAUACCCUUUCAUCAUGUCAUUGGAAGCACUGUCGUGUUUUGUUUCCUGUUGGUAUGAUACAUGUCUUUGGUGGUGAUUCAGUUUGUCGUCGAAAGGACUUUCUAUUCUAUUCUUUUUCCUUCUCUUCUCUCUUCUCCCUUAAAAAAUAUAGUUUGCCCUUUUUGUUCUUGAUGUUUCAACUUCAAUAAUUAUUCUUUUGAUUUUUAAUUUUUGUUCCGGGCUCUUUUAUAGAAAUCUUAUUUGUUUUUAAUUUCAUUCUUCAAUCACAAUUCACUAAAUAUCAUAUUCUUUAAUUUGGUCAUUCUUUUGAUUUAUAAUUUUUGUGUAGCCUUAACAAAUAAGGUGUACCUUGCAAAAAUUGGAGCUCUGUUACCGCCUCUCGUGUGUCCAUGUAAAAUAAAGAAACCACUAACUUUUGAAUCCUAAUGAAACAUGGGAACCUUGCCAAUUAAUAACUCUAAUUAUGUCGCCUCAAAUGUCCUUGUAGAAUAAGGAAGUCACUUUAUAGGAAAUCUAUAAGUUAGAAGGAAAGAUAAUCCUAAACCAACUAGGAAACUAAUGCAAUUCCCGCAUAGUACUUUCUAGUUUUUAUCUCAAGGUCUUUCUAAACUCCGAUUGAUAUUUAAUUUUAACCCUAUAAAAAUAAGAUCUGUGAAAUCUUUUGGUAAAAUAUCAAUUCGAUCCAACAUUCAGAUUGAAAAUUAUGAUUGUUAGGGUAAAACUGUAUAUUAGAAGAAAACAAAUGCCCAAAAUUACCUCUCCUUACCCAACCCUUUCAUGGACCACAUUGAUCAAAGCUUAGUCACCCCUUCUUGAAAUUUUGAAACUUGACUUGACCAAAAUAUCUUAAAUAAGCCCAUCGAAUACCUUUUCAAUCUUCUUGGUCGAAUAAUGCAAGGUCAAAAUCUUUGGCUUCUCCUUCCUCAUUCUCAUCAACCAUCUCAUCGAUGAUCCUACACCUCACCAAACAUCACAUUCAUCCUCUCAAAUUGUUGUUCUAUACCCCUAACAAAAAUAAGAUGUUCUCCUCCUCCUUUUUAGAGGAUGCUCCGUCUUUGGAAGACAUUGUCAAAUUUAAAAUUUUACGUUAGCAAUAAAAAACAAUUAUCAUCAUUUACUCCCUUACGUGUUUACACUCAAUAAUCAACGGGUUAUGGUCGUUCAUCCAUUAGCUUCGAUUCUUUGGUUCAAGGUAUUCACUAUAUCAAGUUUUUAUCUUCAAUUCGAUUUGUCUUUUUGGGUUGUAUUUUUUCUUGUUUAUGAGUUCACAUCACAAGAAACUAUUUUAUAAUAAACUCAAACCUAGGCUCAAGCCACAUCAUGUCAACGCGUACUUGCAUAUUCAAAACCCACUUUACUUAUGUCAUUUUCCCUCUAAAAAAUUAGGUUCCUAUUGGUCUCAAUAUUAACUCUUCACCUUCUCACUAAAUAAGCCACAAGAAAAACUUAUUUCUUUCUAAUGUGGGAUAGAGUUUUUAGAAGGCUUUGGGUUUCACUAAAAUAUAUGAAUCAAUGGUUAUUUGAGAAUAAUUUUUUAUUCAUCCACAAUUUAUUUAAAUCAUAUUAGUAGUAUAUGUUAAAGAGCUUAUGUUGGAGAUUAAAUUCCAACACAGUUUUAACCCCAAAAGUGAAUGGAUCCACUUUUAAUUUGGCAUCAAAUAUUUUCAUUAACCAUGUUCCUAGACAAAAUUUGCAACAAAAUAUCCUCCUAACAAAGCAGAAUGUUUUUGUUACAAUACUAAUGUCAGUAAAAAUGAGUAACGGAUGUUGAUGUAUUUAGAUAUAACUAGUUUAUUUCCUACACUAUCGUUGUGGGUUGUAUGAAAUUUUUUUGGAAUAUAAGAAAACAAUAUAUAAAUUAUAUAAAACUUUUUUGCAUUGUUAUUAAACUAAGUACAAUGGUUCAAACUUGACAACUCUCAACAUGACUAUUUGUUUAGCCCAAGUUUUAAAUUAAAUCAUAUGAAAGUUGCCGUUAUGUGACCUUGUUUAUUGGGUAAGUGCAAAGAAAAACAAGGAGCAUGUCAGGUUAAACAUAAUCAACCCGCCAAAACCGUGACAGAAGUUAUAGGCUCUACUAGGUCAAAUUAUUUUUUAUUUUAUUUUAUUAUAUAAUAAAAAAAUAUAAAAUUUGAUUUACCAUUAACCCAAUAACCCAAUACUACAAAAUAAAAUUAAAGAAAAACCUCACAUUAAAGGAAUAAAAAAUAAAUAAAUAUGACAAAAAAUACUCAAAUGGUGUGUUACGAUAAAGCCAAACACGUGGGCUUGGGGAGGCCCACAGACGUGGCCCGUACACCUUUUUUUUAUUUGAAAAAAAAAAUCAACAUUCUCAUUUUUUAUUUGAAAAAAUAUAUUGCUGUCAGUAGGAAUCGAACCCAACACCUAUCUGCUUACUUACAACCACUUGAAUUAUGAAACGAACUACGAACUUGUUAACUAAGCUGUUAAAAUAUAUCAACUUAAUUUGAAUAAUUAAGUCAAAUCAAGUCAUUUAGUUGUUUCCUUUUUACUAUUAGAUUUGAAAUCAAUGGUUUUAACAAACCAGCAUUUUAGACUUUCCCAAAACAGACGUAUGCGCAAAAACAUUGAAUUGAAUUGAAAAUAUUGAUCUGAUCAUGCAUGGAUUUUCAUAUAAAAAAAACACAUCACCGUGGAAAGGACCUGGUGAGCAUUCAUCAGUAGAAUUCAGAGUCGCAAGUAAUCCUGGGACAUCCUUUACAAGGACUACAAGUAAUGCCUUGAAAAAGAGAGUUCGGCCUACCCAACUUGUAACCCGUAUUGUUCUUACAUCUACGAAGAGCACUACGUCGUAAAAAAGAGUAACAAAAUAAAAUAAACUCUAAGGCAACCAAAUGAAAAUGGUGAUUAAUUAAGGUGACUUGUCUGUUGCUGAUCAAUUGACCUCAUGUUCUUUUACUCUAUUUUUAUAUUGUUGUGAACCUACUUGAGUAAAAAGGACGACAAGAGAAUGUUUUCAGGAUUAAUAUGUAGGAAGUGGGUGCCAAAUUUAAUCAUUUAAUUUACAGAUAUCCUAUGCCAAGAAAUUAUCAAACUUCCAUGCAAGGUUCCUAAUUAAUAAAUGCAAAAAUUAGAAAACACAUGUUCUGCUUCCCAAUCUAUGUUGAUCCAUGAACAAGAAGACUUUAUGUAGCAUGUAAGAAACCUAGUAAGAUUAGGCUUCUAAUCCUUGUUUUCCAAGAAUGAACUCACCCACCUAACCUAACUGUGAAAAACGACAUGGCAGCAAUUCCCAUAUUCCCUUUAUAAGGUUGAGGUAGCCAGUCACGGAUGAAGACAACAAGCUUGAAAGCAAGAAGGAAACCAACAGCAACAGAGAGAUUGCCAAAGAAAGGUCUCGAAGUCAGCAAAUAUGGAGUACUCCAAUUGGCUCAUCCGUUUUAUGCUUCUUGCUGUCUGCCUCCUCCCUGCUUUGGUCGAGUGCAGGAUUCGGCAUUACAAGUUCAAUGUAAGUUAAAUGCUGUAGCAAGCUUCCAUGUGACGAAAGCGUGAACUGCUUGAGCUUUCGGUCAUUAGUCUCAUUCAUGUGACGAAAAUCUUCUUUGAAAUGCAUUUCGUUAUUAGAAGAUAGCCAUGUUUUGCACGAUGCAUUGCACAUCAUGACACUGCCUUGGCUUAAAAUCAUGCAACUUUACCCAUAUCUUUUUCCUGACUAGUCCAUGAUUCAAAUGGAAAUCAUAGAGUUUCCACCUACCUAUAGCCACUAUUUUAAAUACCAGAAAAGUUUAUUCUCAUGCUUACUUUAUGGUUAAAUAAUUGCAGCAGAAAGCUCUCACUAUAUAUAUAUAUAUAUAUAUAUAUAUAUGUUCAAGAAACCAUUAAAAAAAUAUUAAAUAGGAAAAGGGUGGUAAGAUCUCAAAGCACUGUAGUGACAUAAUUUGUCACAACAAAUUAAACAAUAUGGACAGUUUAGCAGUCAUGACCUUUGAAUUAUAUACAUUUGAUGUAGAAAUGAGCUUAAAUAUUUCACCUAUCAUUUCAACAGGUGGUGAUGAAAAAUACUACCAGACUAUGCUCUAGGAAGCCGAUUGUUACCGUCAAUGGCCGCUUCCCAGGACCCACUCUGUAUGCCAGAGAACACGAUACAGUUCUUGUAAAAGUUGUUAACCAUGUCAAAUAUAAUGUUUCUAUUCACUGGUAAGCUAACGAAACAAACCCCGUAUAACAGUUAUACUUCAAUUGAUCAUGAAUGAUACCGAUGCGGAUUUUUCUUGGUAUUCGGCAGGCAUGGCAUUAGGCAACUAAGAACGGGCUGGGCUGAUGGACCAGCAUACAUUACACAAUGCCCCAUUCAGCCAGGGCAAAGCUAUGUCUACAAUUUCACAAUCACUGGUCAGAGGGGCACACUUCUUUGGCACGCACAUAUUCUCUGGCUAAGGGCCACAGUUCAUGGUGCCAUGGUUGUCUUGCCUAAACGCGGCAUCCCCUACCCAUUCCCAGCUCCUCAUAAAGAAGUGGUUGUUGUAUUAGGUGAGCACGAUACAUAAUAGUUAUUUCUUUCACUAAAACUUUUGAAAUUAUGUGCAUUCCGACCAUAAUUCAAUGCUUUAAGGUUCAUGUUUAUUAAAUAUGUAACCUGAGACUAAUGUGGUGACGUGAAAUUGCAGCUGAAUGGUGGAAAUCAGAUACUGAAGCUGUGAUCAACGAGGCUCUUAAAUCUGGAUUAGCUCCAAAUGUCUCUGAUGCUCACACAAUUAACGGCCAUCCAGGAGCUGUCUCAGCUUGUUCUUCACAGGGUAUUCAACUAAGAUUAAUGACCAUAAGAUAUACCUGAGAGUUCUGGCUCUCAAUGCUUGCUUUCUAAUAAAGGUCUGAUACAGAAAGAUUUUUGGAUUCAUGCAGGCGGUUUCACAUUGCCAGUCAAAAGUGGCGAGACCUACAUGCUACGGUUGAUCAAUGCUGCACUCAAUGAAGAGCUCUUCUUCAAAAUUGCAGGGCACAAGCUUACAGUCGUCGAAGUUGAUGCCACCUAUGUUAAACCAUUCAAAACCGAUACAGUCCUAAUUGCCCCAGGCCAGACCACCAAUGUCCUUGUCACAACUAACAAAAAUACAGGCAAGUACUUGGUUGCUGCCUCCCCGUUCAUGGAUGCUCCAAUUGCUGUGGACAACAUGACAGCAACAGCCACUUUGCAGUAUUCAGGAGCACUUGCUAACUCCCCUACAACUCUCACCACCCCACCUCCAAAGAAUGCCACUGCAGUUGCCAACCAAUUUACCAACUCUCUACGCAGCCUUAACUCAAGAAGAUUUCCUGCCAAAGUCCCAUUAAACGUUGAUCACAACCUUUUCUUUACAGUUGGUCUAGGAGUUAACCCAUGUCCAAGUUGCAAAGCUGGUAAUGGCAGCAGGGUUGUUGCUAGUAUUAACAAUGUCACAUUUGUGAUGCCAACCACUGCCCUGCUCCAAGCACAUUUCUUCAACAUCAGCGGUGUGUUCACCACUGAUUUUCCUGCAAAGCCACCGCAUGUUUUCAAUUACACUGGCACUCCACCUACAAAUUUACAGACCAAAAGUGGAACUAAAGUUUAUAGGCUGAGCUACAACUCGACAGUCCAACUUGUCAUGCAAGAUACUGGGAUCAUAUCCCCUGAGAACCAUCCGAUCCAUUUACAUGGAUUCAAUUUCUUUGCUGUCGGUAGGGGAGUAGGGAAUUACAAUCCGAAGACUGAUACUAAGAAAUUUAACCUCGUUGAUCCUGUUGAACGGAACACAAUUGGAGUACCUUCUGGUGGAUGGGUGGCGAUAAGAUUUCGCGCCGAUAAUCCAGGUAAUUGCUGUUUAAUGUUUUCGUUUGGAAGUACAGAGCUUGGCAUUUUCAAGUUUGUUUAAUUUCAUGUUCUCUGAUUUUCUUCUUUGCAUCUCUUGUAGGAGUUUGGUUCAUGCAUUGCCAUCUGGAGGUGCACACUACAUGGGGACUUAAGAUGGCGUUCUUGGUAGAC
RNAcentral lists this long non-coding RNA (15635 nucleotides) under Populus trichocarpa (black cottonwood). RNAcentral's name for it is "long non-coding RNA (PTRI_LNC001714)". Lineage: Eukaryota; Viridiplantae; Streptophyta; Magnoliopsida; Malpighiales; Salicaceae. The record is from RNAcentral.